Molecule: unclassified non-coding RNA, 195 nt
Filed under: uncultured fungus
Lineage: Eukaryota; Fungi
Description: sequence contains ITS1
Source: RNAcentral
UUAACUAUUGUAUAACACUCAGACAAUACAUUGAUUGAGUUUGAUGGUCCUCUGACAAGCACACGCCGGCCAAGGCCGACGGUGGGUUUUUCCACAGGCUUGCCAAAGCAACAGAGAAGGUAUACAGAGGGUUGAGGGUUCAGGCCAAAGACCUGACCGCCAGUAAUGAUCCUUCCGCAGGUUCACCUACGGAAA